AGAGUUUGAUCAUGGCUCAGGACGAACGCUGGCGGCGUGCCUAAUACAUGCAAGUAGAACGCUGAAGACUGGUGCUUGCACUAGUCAGAUGAGUUGCGAACGGGUGAGUAACGCGUAGGUAACCUACCUCAUAGCGGGGGAUAACUAUUGGAAACGAUAGCUAAUACCGCAUGACAAUUAAGUACUCAUGUACUAAAUUUAAAAGGAGCAAUUGCUUCACUAUGAGAUGGACCUGCGUUGUAUUAGCUAGUUGGUGAGGUAACGGCUCACCAAGGCUACGAUACAUAGCCGACCUGAGAGGGUGAUCGGCCACACUGGGACUGAGACACGGCCCAGACUCCUACGGGAGGCAGCAGUAGGGAAUCUUCGGCAAUGGGGGCAACCCUGACCGAGCAACGCCGCGUGAGUGAAGAAGGUUUUCGGAUCGUAAAGCUCUGUUGUUAGAGAAGAACGGUAAUGGGAGUGGAAAAUCCAUUACGUGACGGUAACUAACCAGAAAGGGACGGCUAACUACGUGCCAGCAGCCGCGGUAAUACGUAGGUCUCGAGCGUUGUCCGGAUUUAUUGGGCGUAAAGCGAGCGCAGGCGGUUAUUUAAGUCUGAAGUUAAAGGCCGUGGCUCAACCAUGGUUCGCUUUGGAAACUGGAUAACUUGAGUGCAGAAGGGGAGAGUGGAAUUCCAUGUGUAGCGGUGAAAUGCGUAGAUAUAUGGAGGAACACCGGUGGCGAAAGCGGCUCUCUGGUCUGUAACUGACGCUGAGGCUCGAAAGCGUGGGGAGCAAACAGGAUUAGAUACCCUGGUAGUCCACGCCGUAAACGAUGAGUGCUAGGUGUUAGGCCCUUUCCGGGGCUUAGUGCCGC
RNAcentral lists this ribosomal RNA (859 nucleotides) under uncultured bacterium. Its description in RNAcentral is "bacterial SSU rRNA". It matches the Rfam family "Bacterial small subunit ribosomal RNA", at positions 8 to 849 of the family's 1533-position model. The record is from RNAcentral.